AGCGUAGGCGGUUGGGUAAGCCCUCCGUGAAAUCUCCGGGCCUAACCCGGAAAGUGCGGAGGGGACUGCUCGGCUAGAGGAUGGGAGAGGAGCGCGGAAUUCCCGGUGUAGCGGUGAAAUGCGUAGAGAUCGGGAGGAAGGCCGGUGGCGAAGGCGGCGCUCUGGAACAUUUCUGACGCUGAGGCUCGAAAGCGUGGGGAGCAAACAGGAUUAGAUACCCUGGUAGUCCACGCCUUAAACGAUGGAUACUAAGUGUCGGCGGGUUACCGCCGGUGCCGCAGCUAACGCAGUAAGUAUCCCGCCUGGGAAGUACGGCCGCAAGGUUGAA
Molecule: ribosomal RNA, 328 nt
Filed under: uncultured Nitrospira sp.
Lineage: Bacteria; Pseudomonadati; Nitrospirota; Nitrospiria; Nitrospirales; Nitrospiraceae
Description: bacterial SSU rRNA
Rfam family: Bacterial small subunit ribosomal RNA
Source: RNAcentral